AUCGCUUCUCGGCCUUUUGGCUAAGAUCAAGUGUAGUAUCUGUUCUUAUCAGUUUAAUAUCUGAUACGUUCUCUAUCCGAGAACGACUUAUUAAACGGAUUUUUGGAGUAAGGAGUUGGAGUAGGAGCUUGCUCCGUCCGCUCCGCGCAUCGACCUGGUAUUGCAGUGUUUCCAGGACUGGUGCACCCCUU
This is a small nuclear RNA of Physeter macrocephalus (sperm whale), 191 nucleotides long. Its record names the gene U2. It matches the Rfam family "U2 spliceosomal RNA". Rfam says of the family: U2 is a small nuclear RNA (snRNA) component of the spliceosome (involved in pre-mRNA splicing). Complementary binding between U2 snRNA (in an area lying towards the 5' end but 3' to hairpin I) and the branchpoint sequence (BPS) of the intron results the bulging out of an unpaired adenosine, on the BPS, which initiates a nucleophilic attack at the intronic 5' splice site, thus starting the first of two transesterification reactions that mediate splicing. Lineage: Eukaryota; Metazoa; Chordata; Mammalia; Artiodactyla; Physeteridae. The record is from Ensembl.